This 198-nucleotide ribosomal RNA is filed under the name uncultured bacterium. RNAcentral's name for it is "partial 16S ribosomal RNA". It matches the Rfam family "Bacterial small subunit ribosomal RNA", at positions 328 to 539 of the family's 1533-position model. The record is from RNAcentral.
ACGCUCGACACCUACGGGAGGCAGCAGUGGGGAAUAUUGCACAAUGGGGGAAACCCUGAUGCAGCGACGCCGCGUGAAGGAAGAAGUAUUUCGGUAUGUAAACUUCUAUCAGCAGGGAAGAAAAUGACGAUACCUGACUAAGAAGCCCCGGCUAACUACGUACCAGCAGCCGCGGUAAUCUGAGCGGGCUGGCAAGGC